CCACACUGUUGUUUGCAGACCUUUGUUCAGGAUUUGACAAUGAUCCUUCGCAUUUUUUUGGUUUUGGCUUUGGUGUCUCUUGCCGAAGGCUGUAGCAUAUUCUUUCAAAGAAACACAUGCACAUGUCGAUGUGGCGAUUUCUUCGAUAUCUGCGAUAAUGGCUGCAAAAGAAUACAAGGCAUGUUCGGUACAGCUUGUUCGUUCAACUGUGCUAAAAUGCUUCAGAGAUGUGUGAGCAGUUGUCCGAAGUAAAAUGUUGUGAAUUUAUUUCACCACAAGCGAGAUAUCAUAUAAAUAGUUUGAGGAUGCUUAAUAAUCAGAGACAACUUAGAAAUUAUAAAAUUUUAUCUCUAUAUAUUUUGACUUUAAAAUACCUUUCAAUUGAAGACUUUCCAUGAAAUCUAUAUAUUAAUAUGUACAUGUAUAUUUUCUGUAAAUGGAAUUAGAAAAUAUUGCAAUCAAUUGUCCAAGCUUAUUUUGUAUCAAGUAAAUGGUCUUUUUAUUUUCUCUAAUGUUACUGUCAAUGCAUUUCGAUAUAAUUUUAAAAGGAAAAGAAUCGUUGGUAUGCUUAUAUUGGCAUGAAAUAGAAAUAAAAAUAUUAUUCAAA
Saccostrea cuccullata (small rock oyster) is the source of this 607-nucleotide long non-coding RNA. RefSeq lists it as uncharacterized. Lineage: Eukaryota; Metazoa; Mollusca; Bivalvia; Ostreida; Ostreidae. The transcript is spliced from 2 exons. The record is from RefSeq and is a predicted model, not a curated record.